Long non-coding RNA from Passer domesticus (house sparrow), 588 nucleotides. RefSeq lists it as uncharacterized. The record is from RefSeq and is a predicted model, not a curated record. Lineage: Eukaryota; Metazoa; Chordata; Aves; Passeriformes; Passeridae. The transcript is spliced from 3 exons.
CUUGGCUGCUGUGUUCGCACGCUCUGCACCUUGCUCCUGCCCACUCUGCUUGUCAGCUUUCCUCAGUCCUGAAAGAUCCUUAGUGCCUGGAUUUCAUCAUCCAGCCCUGCAGGAUGCUCCUCUUUGUUCUGGGGAAGGCUGUCCCAGACAGAGAGGAGAUGGAGGUAGAUACAAAGAUUGAUACGGAGGAGGAGAUGGAAAUAGACGGAGAAGACCCUGGAGAGGAAGAGAUGGAUGUGGAUGUGGAGGAGGAAGAAGAGAUGGACGUGUAUGUGGAUGAGGAAGAAGAGAUGGAUGUGGAUAUGGAAGAGUCCAUUUAGGACAUGGAUAUUGAUUAAAAAGGUGCGAUGGACAUCACAGAGACACCACCCUUUGGUAUAUAUGUUCUACAGUUUGUUGUUUUUCUUUAGAAUGUAGAUUGUAGGGCUAUUUUUGACUUCUGUAAAUACGUUUCCCAUAGUUUUGCUAGGUAGGUUUUUCUGUAUAUAUGUUCUAUUGAUUGUUGUUGUUGCAAAUAUUCUUGCAAUGUAAAUAUGUUCUGUAUUUUUGCUGCCGUUCUUCUGUAAUAAACAAAUUUUAUUUUUCACA